Molecule: non-coding RNA, 105 nt
Filed under: Bacillus sp. (in: firmicutes)
Lineage: Bacteria; Bacillati; Bacillota; Bacilli; Caryophanales; Bacillaceae
Also listed under: 1 other name
Description: Bacillus sp. TPP sequence
Rfam family: TPP riboswitch aptamer (THI element)
About the family: Vitamin B(1) in its active form thiamin pyrophosphate (TPP) is an essential coenzyme that is synthesised by coupling of pyrimidine and thiazole moieties in bacteria. The previously detected thiamin-regulatory element, thi box was extended, resulting in a new, highly conserved RNA secondary structure, the THI element, which is widely distributed in eubacteria and also occurs in some archaea. Analysis of operon structures identified a large number of new candidate thiamin-regulated genes, mostly transporters, in various prokaryotic organisms.
Source: RNAcentral
ACAUUGCACUGGGGGAGUCUUUAAGAGGCUGAGAUAGAACUUUGUUCUAGACCCUUUGAACCUGAACCGGAUCAUGCCGGCGGAGGGAAGUGGAGAUAUUAACUC